CUACGGGGGGCUGCAGUGGGGAAUUUUGGACAAUGGGCGAAAGCCUGAUCCAGCCAUGCCGCGUGCAGGACGAAGGCCUUCGGGUUGUAAACUGCUUUUGUACGGAACGAAACGGCUCUCUUUAAUACGGGGGGCUAAUGACGGUACCGUAAGAAUAAGCACCGGCUAACUACGUGCCAGCAGCCGCGGUAAUACGUAGGGUGCAAGCGUUAAUCGGAAUUACUGGGCGUAAAGCGUGCGCAGGCGGUUGUGUAAGACAGAUGUGAAAUCCCCGGGCUCAACCUGGGAACUGCAUAUGUGACUGCACAGCUGGAGUACGGUAGAGGGGGAUGGAAUUCCGCGUGUAGCAGUGAAAUGCGUAGAUAUGCGGAGGAACACCGAUGGCGAAGGCAAUCCCCUGGACCUGUACUGACGCUCAUGCACGAAAGCGUGGGGAGCAAACAGGAUUAGAUACCCCUGUAGUC
Molecule: ribosomal RNA, 464 nt
Filed under: uncultured bacterium
Lineage: Bacteria
Description: partial 16S ribosomal RNA
Rfam family: Bacterial small subunit ribosomal RNA
Source: RNAcentral